RNAcentral lists this ribosomal RNA (484 nucleotides) under uncultured bacterium. Its description in RNAcentral is "partial 16S ribosomal RNA". It matches the Rfam family "Bacterial small subunit ribosomal RNA", at positions 30 to 507 of the family's 1533-position model. The record is from RNAcentral.
AUUGAACGCUGGCGGCAUGCCUUACACAUGCAAGUCGAACGGCAGCGCGGGAGCAAUCCUGGCGGCGAGUGGCGAACGGGUGAGUAAUACAUCGGAACGUGCCCAAUCGUGGGGGAUAACGCAGCGAAAGCUGUGCUAAUACCGCAUACGAUCUACGGAUGAAAGCAGGGGAUCGCAAGACCUUGCGCGAAUGGAGCGGCCGAUGGCAGAUUAGGUAGUUGGUGAGGUAAAGGCUCACCAAGCCUUCGAUCUGUAGCUGGUCUGAGAGGACGACCAGCCACACUGGGACUGAGACACGGCCCAGACUCCUACGGGAGGCAGCAGUGGGGAAUUUUGGACAAUGGGCGAAAGCCUGAUCCAGCCAUGCCGCGUGCAGGAUGAAGGCCUUCGGGCUGUAAACUGCUUUUGUACGGAACGAAACGGUCUUUUCUAAUAAAGAAGGCUAAUGACGGUACCGGAAGAAUAAGCACCGGCUAACUACGUG